CCUACGGGGGGCAGCAGUAGGGAAUAUUGCUCAAUGGGGGAAACCCUGAAGCAGCAACGCCGCGUGGAGGAUGAAGGUUUUCGGAUUGUAAACUCCUUUUGUUAGAGAAGAUAAUGACGGUAUCUAACGAAUAAGCACCGGCUAACUCCGUGCCAGCAGCCGCGGUAAUACGGAGGGUGCAAGCGUUACUCGGAAUCACUGGGCGUAAAGAGCGCGUAGGCGGGAUAGCAAGUCAGAUGUGAAAUCCUAUGGCUUAACCAUAGAACUGCAUUUGAAACUGUUAUUCUAGAGUAUGGGAGAGGUAGGUGGAAUUCUUGGUGUAGGGGUAAAAUGCGUAGAGAUCAAGAGGAAUACUCAUGGCGAAGGCGACCUGCUAGAACAUAACUGACGCUGAUGCGCGAAAGCGUGGGGAGCAAACAGGAUUAGAUACCCCGGUAGUC
RNAcentral lists this ribosomal RNA (440 nucleotides) under uncultured bacterium. RNAcentral's name for it is "partial 16S ribosomal RNA". It matches the Rfam family "Bacterial small subunit ribosomal RNA", at positions 338 to 795 of the family's 1533-position model. The record is from RNAcentral.